This 240-nucleotide ribosomal RNA is filed under the name uncultured bacterium. Its description in RNAcentral is "partial 16S ribosomal RNA". It matches the Rfam family "Bacterial small subunit ribosomal RNA", at positions 118 to 354 of the family's 1533-position model. The record is from RNAcentral.
UGAGCAAUCUGCCCUUCUCUUUGGAAUAAGCGUUGGAAACGACGUCUAAUGCCGAAUACGACCUCCUUUCGCAUGAUCGGAGGUGGAAAGCUCCGGCGGAGAAGGAUGAGCUCGCGGCCUAUCAGCUAGUUGGUGUGGGUAAUGGCCCACCAAGGCGACGACGGGUAGCCGGCCUGGAGGGGGGUGACCGGCCACACUGGGACUGAGACACGGCCCAGACCUCCGUACGGGAGCAGCAGG